Trichonephila inaurata madagascariensis is the source of this 75-nucleotide non-coding RNA. The record is from the annotation of a GenBank genome assembly. NCBI's taxonomy places the organism in Eukaryota, Metazoa, Arthropoda, Arachnida, Araneae, Nephilidae.
AUCCCUGUAGUGCAAUAGAUAAGCACGUUGGACUUCUACUCCAAAGAUGCGUGGGUUCGAAUCCCACCUGGGAUG